CCAUUCCAACACUCUUCUGAAACUUAGUGUAAAAUUAGUGUAUUGUAGAAGUAUCUUUUUGCAAGAAAAACACAAAAUGUACAUACAAUACAAAAAUGGUAAGAUCAAGUAUUUUUCUUUAUAUGAAAAGUCAUUUAAAAAUAAGCAUUCAAGCCAAAACUAGAGACAGUGAAAUCUGCAACCCUGUUUCCCAUACUGUUUUUAUCUCUAUAUAUUUAAUGCUCAUGAUUUUAUAAUACUCAUCAAACCUAUAAAACUAAAUGCUAUAUGAGCAGUUUUAUUUUAAAUUUAUUUGAGGUGGACAAACAUUUUCUGAAGGUUAAACAUUCUUUAGUCUGUUACAAAAUGAAGACUUUUCAGUUUCAACCCUUUUUUUUUUGCACAUCUUUGUGGAAAGUGCUUCUCUCUCUUUAAGUAUUACCUGAGUGAAAUAAACCUCCAUCACAACCUCAACUGAGCAAUCAACCCACCAGAAAACAAUGCUCAUUAAAGCAGUAUAUACUGCAUUUCUUGCUAUUUUUUAUUGUGCUUUUGUUGGUCAGAAAACAAGAUGGACAACCCUAUAGAACAUACUGCAGUCAUGUAAAUGAUGUGUUUUAUUUCAUGUUUCGUCCUGCCAUUGGUUGAGUAAAAUGACAAAGAAAUCAACUGCAAUUUUCAUUCUGGUUAAAUAUGCAGAACCCCUGAUUUCUGCUACAUUGGGAGAGAAUAAAGGGCAAAGGUCAGGGAGAGUGUCCACCGAAUGUGCAAGUCAGUCACUAAUAGAAUUGACUGGAAUUCAAGCCAAACAGAACAGCUUCUUAAAUCCAGACAUGAAUGUGCCCAGGAAACUCAAUAAACUGGGACACGUAUGGAAAUCAUUGAAAAACAUAAAAAUGUAUAUAAACUCAUAAACAAAGAAAGCAAAAGAAAACAGUAGAUGUGUGUAGUCUCAAAAUGUCCAGGAGGUGGCACCAUAGUGCUGGUUCAAACAGCAUUUAGUUCCAACAAACCUCAAAGAAAAGCUAAAAACAAUAAUCACUUUUUGGCACAUUUGUUCAUUUUUCUUCAUGUCCUUUCAUCUCCUGCUAGAACAACUAUAAUGGAAUAAAAUCAAUAUCAUGAAAGAUGAAAGUGAUGUGUGUACAGAAUGAAAAUCUCAGCUCGCGAGUUAUCAGAAGUUGAGAGGAGGAAAACUGUGGUACAUAUGGCUCAGAAAUGCAGUUCCAAGUCUCCAGAGUGGGACGACAUUCACAAAAACAUACACACACUUGCCUUUGUUCUUCUGGAUGAGCUGAAGGUAGGAACAUGACUUUGAGUGGGAUGAAAAAUUAAAAAUGUCAAAAUUGAGCGAUUCUGUAAGAUUUAAGUAAAAAACAAAGUGGAUUUAACAAGUCUACCAUGGAAUGAAGAAGGCCCCUCAACACCUUCAUUCAAGCCCUUGUACAGUCAGACAGACUGAAGAUUUAACGCAGAGCGGCUGCUUUAGGAUGGGAGGUCAGGAUCUCUGUUAAUGAGCUAAAUUGUAACUAGUCUUCAUCUAGGAUGGGAGAAUAAAUUUUAAUCAGAGUAACCACCAUAUUUCCAGAACAGAAAUGAGGUUAUAAAAGUACAAGGUCAUAGGUCACAUCUGAUUUUCAAAACCUUUAUUUUAUGUUGGAAAUUUGUAUAUUUUAAAUGUUAAUCAGAGGGGGAAAAAUAUAAAGGUACAGUCACUAUCAACACCAUAUCAGUUAUCCGAUUUUUCAAUUUAUUAGUACAGUAUCAUUCAAUAUCAAUAGUCAGUAAAACUCUUUAAUUAGUUUGAAGUCUUUUAUGGUCACUAAAGCUGCAUUUUUAGGAUCAAAACAUAGUAAAAACGUGAUGUUAAUUUUAUUACAAUUUAAAAUAAAAAUUUUCUAUUUGAAUACAUUUAAAAAUGCUAUUUUUUUUGUAAAAUUAUAAAUGUAUUUACUGUCACUUUUGAUCAAAUGCAUUUAUGCUAAAUAAAA
Long non-coding RNA from Cyprinus carpio carpio, 1970 nucleotides. The record is from Ensembl. NCBI's taxonomy places the organism in Eukaryota, Metazoa, Chordata, Actinopteri, Cypriniformes, Cyprinidae.